Molecule: long non-coding RNA, 603 nt
Organism: Cryptomeria japonica (Japanese cedar)
Lineage: Eukaryota; Viridiplantae; Streptophyta; Pinopsida; Cupressales; Cupressaceae
Exons: 2
Source: RefSeq, a predicted model, not a curated record
UCCUUUCAACGGAAAUGUUUUUUUAAAAGGAAAAAAGCAGUACCAGACGGUUAAACUCAUGAGAUGCCUAUAUAAAAGAAUGCUAUUCAUUGUUUUUUAAAGCAUUAAUUCUUGUUCAUUUCCCUGACCGCUCGCAGAAACAUUUUGCAUUUGUUGUUUUUCAUAUUUGCGGAAGAACUGCACAAGGAUUUGUAUGAGAAGUACGAAAUGAGGAAUAAGUGAUAGCAGAGGCCUAUUUCUUCUGCCCGACAAAUUUGUGCAAAUGUGGGCGGUGGAAUUUAUGCAUUUUCCAGCACCUGUUUGGCAUGGAGGGUUUAUUUCUUUUACUAUGGGUUGGAGGAGUUAUGCUUUUCAACAAUGAGCUAUAAAUUUGAUUGCUAAGGUACGUCCAAGAAUUCAAACAGUUUUUUAUUAAUGUUCAGUGUGAAAUGAGCAUUGUGCAGCUUUCUUUUGGAUUUGAAGAAAUAAUACAAAAUGCUGUAAUUUUAAAGAUGUCAAUAACUUAUUUAAUUGGGAAUGGCUGUGUAGCGAUGAAAAUUUGAAAACAAAUUACUUGUAAAUAUUACUUAACAAUUAUAAUUAAUAAAAAGUGUUUAUUUUUAA